Molecule: ribosomal RNA, 459 nt
Filed under: uncultured bacterium
Lineage: Bacteria
Description: partial 16S ribosomal RNA
Rfam family: Bacterial small subunit ribosomal RNA
Source: RNAcentral
CCUACGGGUGGCAGCAGUGAGGAAUAUUGGUCAAUGGUCGGGAGACUGAACCAGCCAAGCCGCGUGAGGGAGGAAGGUACAGAGUAUCGUAAACCUCUUUUGUCAGGGAACAAAGACUGGGACGCGUCCCCGGAUGAGUGUACCUGAAGAAAAAGCAUCGGCUAACUCCGUGCCAGCAGCCGCGGUAAUACGGAGGAUGCGAGCGUUAUCCGGAUUUAUUGGGUUUAAAGGGUGCGCAGGCGGUCUGUUAAGUCAGCGGGCAAAGCCCGGGGCUCAACCCCGGCCCGCCGUUGAAACUGGCAGUCUCGAGUUGGAGAGAGGUAUGCGGAAUGCGCGGUGUAGCGGUGAAAUGCAUAGAUAUCGCGCAGAACUCCGAUGGCGAAGGCAGCAUGCCGGCUCCACACUGACGCUGAGGCACGAAAGCGUGGGUAUCGAACAGGAUUAGAUACCCCUGUAGUC